GGACAACCCUGAUACCAGCCAGUUCCGAGCUGCUAUGAGACAGAUUAUGGUCGACGCUGUGAUGCGGCCGGGCAAAUACUCGAACUGCGAGGAGGACGUCGAUGAAUUUCUCAUCUCACUUAAGAACUCCACAUCUGCUAAGCUGACACUGCUUCCCAGCCUUCCUUCUGAGUGUGACCCAAACAGCUGUAGCACCUCCUGUAUGUCCGCUAACGUACAGUCUGUCGUCG
This is a long non-coding RNA of Priapulus caudatus, 230 nucleotides long. RefSeq lists it as uncharacterized. The transcript is spliced from 3 exons. NCBI's taxonomy places the organism in Eukaryota, Metazoa, Priapulida, Priapulimorpha, Priapulimorphida, Priapulidae. The record is from RefSeq and is a predicted model, not a curated record.